RNAcentral lists this ribosomal RNA (1324 nucleotides) under uncultured bacterium. RNAcentral describes it as "bacterial SSU rRNA". It matches the Rfam family "Bacterial small subunit ribosomal RNA", at positions 28 to 1393 of the family's 1533-position model. The record is from RNAcentral.
GAUGAAUGCUGGCGGCGUGCCUAACACAUGCAAGUCGAGCGGCAGCGCGAGUAGUUUACUACUUGGCGGCGAGCGGCGGACGGCUGAGUAACGCGUGGGAACAUGCCCCAAAGUGAGGAAUAACUGCCCGAAAGGGUAGCUAAUGCCGCAUAUGGUCUUCGGAUUAAAGGAGUAAUCCGCUUUGGGAGUGGCCUGCGCACGAUUAGAUAGUUGGUGAGGUAAUGGCUCACCAAGUCGACGAUCGUUAGCUGGUCUGAGAGGAUGAUCAGCCAGACUGGAACUGAGACACGGUCCAGACUCCUACGGGAGGCAGCAGUGAGGAAUCUUCCACAAUGGGCGAAAGCCUGAUGGAGCAACGCCGCGUGAAGGAUGAAGGCCCUCGGGUCGUAAACUUCUUUUAUAAGUGAAGAAUAUGACGGUAACUUAUGAAUAAGCACCGGCUAACUACGUGCCAGCAGCCGCGGUCAUACGUAGGGUGCAAGCAUUAUCCGGAGUGACUGGGCGUAAAGAGUUGCGUAGGUGGACAAGUAAGCGAAUAGUGAAAUCUGGGGGCUCAACCUUACAGACUAUUAGUCGAACUGCUUGUCUCGAGAAUGGUAGAGGUAACUGGAAUUUCUAGUGUAGGAGUGAAAUCCGUAGAUAUUAGAAGGAACACCAAUGGCGUAGGCAGGUUACUGGACCAUUUCUGACACUGAGGCACGAAAGCGUGGGGAGCGAACGGGAUUAGAUACCCCGGUAGUCCACGCCGUAAACGAUGGAUACUAGCUGUUGGAGGUAUCGACCCCUCCAGUAGCGAAGCUAACGCGUUAAGUAUCCCGCCUGUGGAGUACGGUCGCAAGACUAAAACAUAAAGGAAUUGACGGGGACCCGCACAAGCGGUGGAUCAUGUUCUUUAAUUCGAUGAUAAACGAUAAACCUUACCAGGGCUUGACAUCCCGAGAAUUAAUCCGAAAGGAUUGAGUGCUUUUAGAACUCGGUGACAGAUCUUGCAUGGCCGUCGUCAGCUCGUGUCGUGAGAUGUUUGGUUAAGUCCAUCAACGAGCGCAACCCUUGUGAAUAGUUGUAUUUUUCUAUUCAAACUGCCCCGGCAACGGGGAGGAAGGAGGGGAUGAUGUCAGGUCAGUAUUAGUCUUACGUCCUGGGCUAGAAACGUGAUACAAUGGCCGGUACAAUGCGUAGCGAAGCCGCAAGGUGAAGCAAAUCGUAUCAAAGCCGGUCCCAGUUCGGAUUGGGGGCUGAAACUCGCCCCCAUGAAGUCGGAAUCGCUAGUAAUCGCAGAUCAGCAUGUUGCGGUGAAUACGUUCCCGGGUCUUGUACACACCGC